GCCACAAAGCUAGCUCUAACCACAUAGUAAAACUGAUAAUCUAGUUAGCUACUCAACUAUAAAAAAGCAGAAACCAAAUCAUUUGACCUUCCCAGUAUGGGCGACAAAAAAGAACUACCAGAAGCAUAGCAAA
This 133-nucleotide ribosomal RNA is filed under the name Anchovia clupeoides (Zabaleta anchovy). Its description in RNAcentral is "partial 16S ribosomal RNA". Lineage: Eukaryota; Metazoa; Chordata; Actinopteri; Clupeiformes; Engraulidae. The record is from RNAcentral.